Molecule: RNA transcript, 3712 nt
Organism: Lucilia sericata (common green bottle fly)
Lineage: Eukaryota; Metazoa; Arthropoda; Insecta; Diptera; Calliphoridae
Gene: Pi3K21B
Gene name: phosphatidylinositol 3-kinase regulatory subunit gamma
Exons: 4
Source: RefSeq, a predicted model, not a curated record
CGUAGCAGCAGAAAAAAAUCACGAAGCCAGUUUUUUUUCUUCUUCAACUACUACUUAUUUUACUCCUCCUCAACUUUUUUAUAAUACGACUGAAAAAAUUAUCAAUUGCUCAUAAAUUUGACCAGAGCGAACAGGAAAAAAGAAAAUUCAUACGGAAAAUGUUACAUACAAAUGUAAUGCAAUAAAAAAAGUAAAAAAUCGUAAGAAAAGUAUAAAUUAAUAAAUAUAUUGUGUAUAAGGCAAGGUCAGUACGGAAGAAAUGGAAAAAACUAAAAUGUUUUGUGCAAACUUAAACACGCGUAUGGAUGGUGGAUCAGGGUGUUGCGCUUAGAAUGUAAAAAAUAUAAAAUUAAUACAAAUUAAUAAUCUUCCCCCGCGAACAUACUACUAUUUAUAUUUAUUAUAACUUAUUACUACUUAUUGCCUGCCUGCCAGUGCACAAUACACAUAAUAUAAUUUUUUGUGUUUCUUUUGUUUAAUAAUUUUUAACGAGCAAAAAAUAAUAUGAAAAAGAAUACAACGUUAAUGACUACGUGAGUGCAAAGUGAGUCCGGGUAUUAAAAAGAAAUUACUCUAUACAAAUUAAAAAAAUAUCUUUUUUAAAAGUAUAAAAAAAGUAAGAAGGGUUAAAAAGGAAAAGAGAAAUAUAGAAAACGAAGAAGAAGGUGAUUUAGAAGAAGAGAUGAUCAAUGAGAAAAGGAGGAUUUGAUGUCAGAGAAUUGUCAACAAGAAAAUACAAGAGAAAAAACCACAAGAGUAUCGUUAAAAAGGCAACAAUAACAACAACAAAACAAAUAUUAACAGGAAACUUGUAGAGAAAUUUUUUAAGUAACUACAACAAUAAACAGUUUUCCUGUCAAAUCAUUUUACACCUACAAUUUACAUACAUAUACACAAACAUGUAUACUUCACCAUUUCAUUAUUCUACUAUGAGGCCUCAGCCUCCAGGGAGUGGACCAACCUUAGAUGAAAAUGCGGAAGAACUACGCAAUGUAGAAUGGUAUUGGGGCAAAAUCAGUCGAGAGGAUGUUAAAAACAUCCUAAGCGGCAAACCAGAUGGUAGUUUUUUGGUACGUGAUGCCCUGUCCAAAGAAGGAGAAUACACUCUUACCCUCAUAAAAGAUGGCACGGAAAAAUUAAUAAAAAUUUGCCAUUUAAAUGGAAAAUAUGGUUUUGUGGAUUGCAAAUUCAACUCGGUGGUGGAGUUAAUCAACUACUAUAAAGCGAAUUCUUUGAAACUUUACAACAAAACUUUGGAUAUUACCCUAAGCAAUCCCAUUAUACGUCCCAUCGAAGAAGAAGAACUACAGCCCAAUGCCGAUUUACGCAUAAUGGCCGAACAGUUUCUGGUCAUACACCACCGACUCAAUAAACAUCAACAGAGUUUGGAUCAAAAGUUAAAGGUUUUUAAAUCCAUUGAAACCGAAUUAAAUGAUAAAAAACUGCACCAGGAAGUAUUUCUAAGGGCGGAGAAAAUGUUUCAGUCCCAAAUUAAACUAUUGGAAACAUUUAUCAAUAAUCCACCGCAGGUCGGUACAAAUACGAACCUCAAUUCCUCUUCAACAACGAAUACAUUGUCAUCGUCGUUAAACACUAACUCCUCUUCCGUUGCCGCCUCCGCCACAAUAAAUUCUCAAACAACCCGCCAUUUGGAACAAGAACAGUUGCAGCUUAAUGCUGCCGCUAUGAAGGCUCAUCUCAAUGAUCUCUGUGCUGAAAUGAACAAGCUAAAUCGUUAUGUUGAAAAUAAGAAAGAAGACUACAAAGCAUUGGAACGACAAAUUAAUGCAGCUAAACCGGAACUACAAACUCUUAAUAUGAGAAAAGAGAAAUAUAUUGAACGUCUCAAAGAAUUCGGCAUAACUGACGAAGAUAUUAAAGAAUUGAUCGAAAUGGGUUUUGAGGCCUGGCAACAACGCUACGAAAGUGUAUCGAAACAACCGCACAACGAUGAAUCCAUGUGGUUUCUACAGGAUAUAUCACGACAAGAUGCCGAAGAAUUACUCUGCGGCGCACCGACUGGUACUUUUUUAAUACGCGCCCGUUCUGCUGGUCAUUACGCUUUAUCGAUUGUCUGCAAAAACUGUAUAAAUCACUGUAUUAUUUAUAAAACCGAAAGUGGUUAUGGUUUUGCAGCACCCUACAAUAUCUAUCAUACUCUCAAGAAAUUAGUGGAACAUUAUGCCACCAAUUCGCUGGAGGAACACAACGAUACACUGACCACCACCUUAAGUAUACCGGUCAUGUAUUGGCAUCAAAAUAAAGAACUGAUAACACAACAGUUAAAAGAACAAAUGGAAUUGGAGCGUCAACAACAGGAAAUGGAACAACAAUUGCAAGAGGAAAUGAUAAUGCCCACACCACCCAUGGCCACCUCGGCACCUAUAGCUGUAACGGGGGCAUCGUCGUUAAUGUCUGUCAAUGAUAUGGCAGCUAGUCAAACGCCGCCUCAAGCACAUUCCUAUGGCAGUAGUAGUGGUGCUGGCGGUGCAGGUGGCAGUAGUAUUGGUGGUGAUAGCAUUAUAGGCGGUGGUGCUAGCAGUUAUCCCGGCAGUAAUCUGUAGUAGUUUUAACAUUCAAUUAAAAAUUUGAUUGAAUGAUUAAUUUGUUUGUUUGAUUUUCAAACAUUCAUACAUAUUUUUGUAGUGGUGAAAUCAAAUUUAUAUUAGUAAGUGGUGCUUGAGAGAGAAAUUACAAAUAAUCUCUUCUACUAAAGCUACAGCUGGCUGUUGUUUGUACGUAUAAAUUUAUCUCCCUAAAAAAAACCCGUGAUUCCCCUUAAAACCCAGUUUAUGUUUUUGUUGGUUUUCAUUUGUCAAGUAAUGUAUAAUGAUAAAUCUCUUAAAGAAAAAGAUUUAUCUUUAAAAAAAAAAUGUUGAUAACUUAAGUAAUAUAUUUAUAUAUUAUGAAAAGUGAUUUAUAAGAAUAUAUUAUUAUAUCUCUUUUUUUUUGUCAUAAAAAAUUCUAUAUUAUUUUGCCUCUAAGGUCCAUACUUGGACAUUUAUACAUUUACACUUAAAUAUUUGUAAACAAGGCAAAGUUUAAAAAGAAGAAGAAAAAAGAUUUUGUAAAAAUCAUUGUCGGUGCAUUUUGGGUGAUAUAUUAAGUGACCAUGAGUAAAACAAAAUGAGAAAAAUGUUUAGUUAAUUUUCAAAAGAAAAUAUUAAUUAUUACAGACUUAUAAAAUAUACAUAUAAAAUAUUUUUCUCUGGCUUGUUUUAAUUUUGAUGUUAAUUAAUAUUAUUCUUAAAUUAUUGUAUACAUAAAAAUGUAAAUUAGUUAUUAGGUUUUUUUUUCUUUCAAUCUUGUAUUCACUAUUUAAUAUUUUGUUAAAAAAAAAAAACAAGAUUUAUUAAUUUAUUUUAUUUAAGUUAUCGCGGUUUAUUUCUCUCAAUAUAUGUCGUUUUAUAAAUCUAAUAUUUUUACUAUUUACAUUUAAGUUACAUUUAUACGUUUAUUUGUUUUGUGCUCUCCCAUGUUUGUUUUUUAAGUAUUUUCUUUUCUUUUUUUUAAAUUUUUAUUUUAAGUAUUGUUGGUUGUAGUGGAGAAAACAAGAUUUAAGGGAAACAUGUUUUCUCUUAAAGAAUACAAAAGAAACUUGUUUUAAUUUUUAAAUUUUCGAUAAAUUUGUCACUUUUAUUUUCGAAACUUCUGAAAAAUUUACUUUAAAUAUCUUAAAAUGUGAAUUUUGCUUAAAUUUUUGCUUUGAAAU